This is a non-coding RNA of Planoprotostelium fungivorum, 73 nucleotides long. Lineage: Eukaryota; Evosea; Variosea; Cavosteliida; Cavosteliaceae. The record is from the annotation of a GenBank genome assembly.
GGCUCCUUGGCCAAGUUGGCAAGGCGCUUCCCUAGUAAGGAAGAGAUCACGAGUUCGAGUCUCGUAGGAGCCU